UACGUAGGGUGCACGCGUUGUCCGGAAUUAUUGGGCGUAAAGAGCUCGUAGGCGGUUUGUUGCGUCGGCUGUGAAAACCCGGGGCUCAACCCCGGGCCUGCAGCCGAUACGGGCAGACUAGAGUUCGGCAGGGGAGACUGGAAUUCCUGGUGUAGCGGUGAAAUGCGCAGAUAUCAGGAGGAACACCGGUGGCGAAGGCGGGUCUCUGGGCCGAUACUGACGCUGAGGAGCGAAAGCGUGGGGAGCGAACAGG
Molecule: ribosomal RNA, 253 nt
Filed under: uncultured bacterium
Lineage: Bacteria
Description: partial 16S ribosomal RNA
Rfam family: Bacterial small subunit ribosomal RNA
Source: RNAcentral